CACGUAGGGUGCAAGCGUUGUCCGGAUUCAUUGGGCGUAAAGGGUGCGUAGGCGGCGCGGUAAGUCGGGUGUGAAAUCUCGGAGCUUAACUCCGAAACUGCAUUCGAUACUGCCGUGCUUGAGGACUGGAGAGGAGACUGGAAUUUACGGUGUAGCGGUGAAAUGCGUAGAUAUCGUAAGGAAGACCAGUGGCGAAGGCGGGUCUCUGGACAGUUCCUGACGCUGAGGCACGAAGGCCAGGGGAGCAAACGGG
Molecule: ribosomal RNA, 253 nt
Filed under: uncultured bacterium
Lineage: Bacteria
Description: partial 16S ribosomal RNA
Rfam family: Bacterial small subunit ribosomal RNA
Source: RNAcentral